RNAcentral lists this unclassified non-coding RNA (395 nucleotides) under soil metagenome. RNAcentral describes it as "partial contains 5.8S ribosomal RNA, internal transcribed spacer 2, and large subunit ribosomal RNA". The stretch from base 1 to 120 matches the Rfam family "5.8S ribosomal RNA", at positions 35 to 154 of the family's 154-position model. The record is from RNAcentral.
GAUGAAGAACGUAGCGAAAUGCGAUAAGUAAUGUGAAUUGCAGAAUUCAGUGAAUCAUCGAAUCUUUGAGCGCAUCUUGCGCUCCUUGGUAUUCCGAGGAGCAUGCCUGUUUGAGUGUCAUUUAACUUCUCAACCAGACAUCAGAUUAUCUUUUGAUGCUUGGCUUGGAUCUGGGGGUUGUUUGCAGGCCUUCUUGUUCAAGGAGGUCGGCUCCCCUGAAAUGUAUUAGUGGUAUCUGAGGCUAUUGCUAUUAGGUGUGAUAAUUAUCUAUGUCUUUUUGCAUGCCCCAUGAACAGAUUACACUGCUUCCAACAAAAAAAAAACAAUUUUGAUGAAUUUGACCUCAAAUCAGGUAGGACUACCCGCUGAACUUAAGCAUAUCAAUAAGCGGAGGA